UACGUAGGGAGCAAGCGUUGUUCGGAUUUACUGGGCGUAAAGGGCGCGUAGGCGGCCACCGCAAGUCGACUGUGAAAUCUCCGGGCUUAACCCGGAAAGGUCAGCCGAUACUGCGGGGCUAGAGUGCAGAAGGGGCAACUGGAAUUCUCGGUGUAGCGGUGAAAUGCGUAGAUAUCGAGAGGAACACCUGCGGCGAAGGCGGGUUGCUGGGCUGACACUGACGCUGGGGCGCGAAAGCUAGGGGAGCGAACGGG
RNAcentral lists this ribosomal RNA (254 nucleotides) under uncultured bacterium. RNAcentral describes it as "partial 16S ribosomal RNA". It matches the Rfam family "Bacterial small subunit ribosomal RNA", at positions 524 to 776 of the family's 1533-position model. The record is from RNAcentral.